RNAcentral lists this ribosomal RNA (253 nucleotides) under uncultured bacterium. RNAcentral's name for it is "partial 16S ribosomal RNA". It matches the Rfam family "Bacterial small subunit ribosomal RNA", at positions 524 to 776 of the family's 1533-position model. The record is from RNAcentral.
UACGAAGGGGGCUAGCGUUGUUCGGAUUUACUGGGCGUAAAGCGCACGUAGGCGGAUCGUUAAGUCGGGGGUGAAAUCCUGGAGCUCAACUCCAGAACUGCCUUCGAUACUGGCGAUCUUGAGUCCGGAAGAGGUGAGUGGAACUCCUAGUGUAGAGGUGGAAUUCGUAGAUAUCGGGAGGAACACCAGUGGCGAAGGCGGCGACCUGGGCCAAUAUUGACGCUGAGGUGCGAAAGCGUGGGGAGCAAACAGG